This 221-nucleotide long non-coding RNA is filed under the name Amborella trichopoda. Its description in RNAcentral is "long non-coding RNA (ATRI_LNC000835)". The record is from RNAcentral. Lineage: Eukaryota; Viridiplantae; Streptophyta; Magnoliopsida; Amborellales; Amborellaceae.
UUAGCUCUUGGGGCAGCCAUAAUGGAGAGUUGGGCUUUUCUGGCUAAGAGGCUUUUGAGGAUAAGGGAAACGGAGGUUGCAAAGAUAAUAAGCUAAAAAGGUAGGAAGAGGUUGUGGGAGGGAAGACUAUUUAUAGGCGACAAAGGGGUAGGUUUAGAUAUCAAACGAUCAACAGGGAGCGAGACAACCAAAGUGAGGGGCACAAAUCUAGAAGUUAUAUC